GAUGAACGCUGGCGGCGUGCUUAACACAUGCAAGUCGAACGAAGCACUUUUACAGAUUUCUUCGGAAUGAAGUUUUAGUGACUGAGUGGCGGACGGGUGAGUAACGCGUGGGUAACCUGCCUCACACAGGGGGAUAACAGUUGGAAACGGCUGCUAAUACCGCAUAAGCGCACAGUACUGCAUGGUACGGUGUGAAAAACUCCGGUGGUGUGAGAUGGACCCGCGUCUGAUUAGCUAGUUGGCAGGGCAACGGCCUACCAAGGCGACGAUCAGUAGCCGACCUGAGAGGGUGACCGGCCACAUUGGGACUGAGACACGGCCCAAACUCCUACGGGAGGCAGCAGUGGGGAAUAUUGCACAAUGGGGGAAACCCUGAUGCAGCGACGCCGCGUGAGCGAAGAAGUAUUUCGGUAUGUAAAGCUCUAUCAGCAGGGAAGAAGAAAUGACGGUACCUGACUAAGAAGCACCGGCUAAAUACGUGCCAGCAGCCGCCGCGG
This 497-nucleotide ribosomal RNA is filed under the name uncultured bacterium. RNAcentral describes it as "partial 16S ribosomal RNA". It matches the Rfam family "Bacterial small subunit ribosomal RNA", at positions 28 to 523 of the family's 1533-position model. The record is from RNAcentral.